GGUGAACGCUGGCGGCGUGCUUGACACAUGCAAGUCGAACGGUAUGUGGCAACACAUAGAGUGGCGAACGGGUGAGUAACACGUGGGAACGUACCAUCUGCAGGGGGAUAACUGACCGAAAGGACAGCUAAUACCGCAUAAGUCCGGAAGGAGAAAGGUGCAAUAGCAUCGGCAGAAGAGCGGCCCGCGGUCCAUCAGCUAGUUGGUGAGGUAAGGGCUUACCAAGGCGACGACGGAUAGCCGGCGUGAGAGCGUGGCCGGCCACAAGGACACUGAGAUACGGGUCCUACUCCUACGGGAGGCAGCAGUGCGGAAUUUUAGAUAAUGGAGGGAACUCUGAUCUAGCGACGCCGCGUGCAGGAAGAAGGUCUUCGGAUUGUAAACUGCUGUGGUAAGGGAAAAAUGCUAUGUAGAGUGGAAAGCUACAUAGAGGGAUGGUACCUUACUAGAAAGCCCCGGCUAACUACGUGCCAGCAGCCGCGGUAAUACGU
RNAcentral lists this ribosomal RNA (491 nucleotides) under uncultured bacterium. Its description in RNAcentral is "bacterial SSU rRNA". It matches the Rfam family "Bacterial small subunit ribosomal RNA", at positions 28 to 528 of the family's 1533-position model. The record is from RNAcentral.